RNAcentral lists this ribosomal RNA (397 nucleotides) under uncultured bacterium. Its description in RNAcentral is "bacterial SSU rRNA". It matches the Rfam family "Bacterial small subunit ribosomal RNA", at positions 359 to 773 of the family's 1533-position model. The record is from RNAcentral.
GAAUCUUGCACAAUGGGGGAAACCCUGAUGCAGCGACGCCGCGUGAGCGAUGAAGCCCUUCGGGGUGUAAAGCUCUUUCGACGGGAACGAUAAUGACGGUACCCGGAGAAGAAGCUGCGGCUAACUACGUGCCAGCAGCCGCGGUAAUACGUAGGCAGCAAGCGUUGUUCGGGGUUACUGGGCGUAAAGAGUACGUAGGCGGUUUGCUAAGUCUGGUGUGAAAUCUCCUGGCUUAACUGGGAGGGUGCGCUAGAUACUGGCAGGCUUGAGUAUGGGAGAGGAGAGUGGAAUUCCUGGUGUAGCGGUGAAAUGCGUAGAUAUCUGGAGGAACACCGGUGGCGAAGGCGGCAUCCUGGACCGACACUGACGCUGAGGCGCGAAAGCUAGGGGAGCAAAC